GUGCCAGCAGCCGCGGUAAUACGUAGGAGACGAGCGUUGUCCGGAGUUACUGGGCGUAAAGGGUGCGCAGGUGGCCGUGCGCGUGGGGGGUGAAAUCGCCUGGCUUAACUGGGCGGGGGCCUUCCAGACGGCGUGGCUUUGAGGAGCGGAGGGGGACGUGGAAUUCCGGGUGGAGCGGUGAAAUGCGUAGAGAUCCGGAGGAACACCGACGGCGCAGGCAGCGUCCUGGCCGCUUUCCUGACACUGAGGCACGAAAGCUGGGGGAGCAAACAGGAUUAGAUACCCGCGUAGUCC
Molecule: ribosomal RNA, 294 nt
Filed under: uncultured bacterium
Lineage: Bacteria
Description: partial 16S ribosomal RNA
Rfam family: Bacterial small subunit ribosomal RNA
Source: RNAcentral